GCUUUUGGCCAUACCACCCUGAGCACGCCUGAUCUCGUCUGAUCUCGGAGGCUUAGCAGGGUCGGGCCUGGUUAGUACUUGGAUGGGAGACCGCCUGGGAAUACCAGGUGCUGUAAGCU
Molecule: ribosomal RNA, 119 nt
Organism: Betta splendens (Siamese fighting fish)
Lineage: Eukaryota; Metazoa; Chordata; Actinopteri; Anabantiformes; Osphronemidae
Source: Ensembl